This 4798-nucleotide long non-coding RNA is filed under the name Olea europaea subsp. europaea. Lineage: Eukaryota; Viridiplantae; Streptophyta; Magnoliopsida; Lamiales; Oleaceae. The record is from RNAcentral.
AAAAAAGAAAUAAAAUAGUUUCGCUUUGGCGUCCCCACCGCGAUUCCAUUCGGACCUUAUCGCCACGCUUUUCGUAAUUCCUCACCUUUCGAUCGCAAUCUCUUUCUUCACCCACUCACCCACACACAUGCACGCAUUUAUUAUUUUCAGUAAAAAAUUGAAUGAGAAUUUGAUCAUUAUAAAUUUUUUCCCACUCUGUAACUCAUCACAAAAUGGGCACUGGCGCAUCGAGAAAUCCCGAUAGCAGCUCCCAUGGCAGCGAAGAGAGAGACCAAGCCGGCGGUCAACUCUAUGUUUCUCUCAGAAUGGAAAAUUAUAAGCUCAAUGGUGAUAUCAUACCCCAUGUUUACGGCUCGGUACCACUCGUCGGCUCCUGGGACCCCUCUAAAGCCGUAAGUUUGUUUCAUAUUUCCCAAUUUUUUUUUCUAGUUUUAGUACUUCAAUUUAUUGGAAAAGUUAGAGUACAGUUGAUUUUUUCAGUUUCAUAUAAGAUUGUGCAUUUUUGCUAAUAGAUGUUUCUGGGGUUAAAAUUAAGAACACUUUGCUGGCCUAAUUUAUUUUAUUACAAGUCAAUCACUCAAAUUUUCUUUGUGUUUCUUACUUUGUCUUUUCAAGGUAAAAUUAACAGAAUUGCUGACUUAUAUACGAUAUUCUAAAAGAAUUGUUCUAUGUAAAUGCAUUAGUCUUUCGAAAGAAUUAAGCAUUUCUGCCAAUUUGGAUGAGGAAACUUAUACAUCAUUGGGAUUUAUAAGUUACAUAAGUCAGCAGUUCCACCAGUAGACGGAGUGCCUGACCUGAAACAAAAAUGAAAGAACAAGAAUGAAAGUUAAUUGAUUAAUUCGAAACAAAAAUGAAUUCAUUGACUAUUGUGUUUCAACCAAUUUUUCACACAUCCUAUGCUGCUGAAUCUUGUGUUUUUGUAGUUAUUUUUGGUUGGAAUUUUGGGAGAUUUUCGUUCUUUUAGUUGCUAAUAUAUUUUCAUAAACUAUCAGCUUUCGUUGGAACGUGAAUACACAUCUAUGUGGAUAUUAAGUUUUGUGGUCCCUCCUAACCAUGGUAAUUAUGCCCACUGUGUAAGCCAAGAAUUUUUCUCCAUUUUAGUAUUCUUGUAAAAUUGAAGAUUUAAUUAUCUCUUGUUUUUUUACAGACACUUUGGAUUUUAAGUUUCUGUUGAAGCCCAAAUAUUGUAGCUCUCCAUGUAUAGUUGAGGAGGGUCCGAACAGGCAAUUGACAGCGGGUACAUUACAUGGGGAUGGGAGGUCGGCUAUGUUUAAAUUGAGUGGUGAUGAGGUUUUUGAGUACAGAGUAUUUAUUAACGUGGAUAGAGUUUCGCCAUUUGAUCUUGCGGCAAGUUGGAGAGCAUAUCAAGAGAAUCUUCAGCCUUCAACUGUUCGAGGAAUCCCAGAUAUUAGUAUAAAUUCAGCUGCUGAAGCUGGUCCUGAGGUGGGUAUUAAGCUUAUUAUGUACAUGAGAAUUAUUCUCUAAUUGUCGGGUUAUGUUUCUUUAGUAUCGGACAUUUGAAUCCUUUUGACUCAAUAGGAUAUUGCAUGCAUUUGGCCUCUGUAUAUUGUUUGUGGGAUUAAAGGGCCCCGAAGACAUGACUUUCCUGAGAGGAUUUGCAUUUCCCCCCGCUCCAAUUUAUUAUGAUAUAUUUGGACACUUAUGGAAAAAGUAAUGCAUAUUGGUGCAUUAAGCCUUUAUAAAGAAGGGGUGUGGAUGUCUUCUUCUAAGUUAUAUGUUUUUGAAAAAUCAAUCUCACUUUGUGGCUAAAUUUCUACAUACAAGUUCUCUUGUCUUUGGCAAAAAAGCCUUGAAAUAUAUCGAAUGAUAAUUAUUGUCGAAGGAGACAAAUAGUAUAACCUUUAGAGAGCAAGAUACAACUUGGUGCUGACGAAUGAAAAUCAUACAUUUUUCUUGGAUUAAAGACUGCGAUCUUAAUGGCUGUGUAACACUUGUAGAGUUUCUUGAUGAUAUUUUAGAGUUUCUUGGGUCCCUCAAUUCAAUCUAACUUUUACUUUUCAAGAGUUCAAGGUGAAAAAGGAUGGUUUUGGUGCUAUGACUUAGGGAAUGUGCACCAUCUGACCAGACUUUUAUAAUUGUCAAGGAGUAAUUGUACUCAAGUUUGGGUGGGACUUGGGGGUGACUAACACGGUUCACUAAUUUAUUUUCCUGAAUUUUUCUGAUUCGUGAGCAUCCCAAAUGCUAACUAUUAAAAUUCUUCCUUUAUGUAUAGCUUCUUAUGAUUUCUUCUGUACGAUAUCUAUCAAUAUUGAUGGUUUGAUAUAUCAGUUGUAUUUUGACAAUUUCCAAUACAGAAUGGAUCUUCAGCAAGUUUGGAGCUUGAUCUUGAGCACUAUGUUGUCCCUGCUCCAGCUAUGGCUGCAAACUCAGCUCUGGUGUAUGCAGCUAACAUGACAGAAACACCUACGUCACUGAGUCGUUUUGGGGUAUUUUCCUGAACUGAUUGCUCUAGUGGUGGGUUACUACAUUAGAUAAUGGUGUUUCUAGCUGCAACAUCAAUGGUGUCGUUCUUGCCCCAAUCUCUUAUUUCUUAUUCAGACUAUAUUCCACGCUUUGAGAAUUGUCUUGUGUUCAAAAUAAUUGAGUUCGCAAAGCUAGUGGUAAAAUACUGAUAUUGAGGGAGAAUUAAAUUCACUAUAUAAAUUAGUUUUCUACUGGAGAUGGAGAUAAUUAUCUGAACCUAAAUGUUUUUAUUCCUGUUCCCCAUCAAGAGGAAGGGUGGACUUACCGAUUGAUGAUUAGCAAUUUUUUUACCUGAAAUUGCUGUUUUGUUAAAUUGAGAUUUUUCCCUACGGACCUGGACCUACUAAAUUAAGUCAAAUGAGUAUUCCUCUGUCAAAGCACUGGUACGUAAUCACGUUGAUAUCUGUUGGUUAAUCUGAAAUGGAAGGAAGCACGUCCGUUCAUCAAUAAUACUUACAGCUUGUUCGGGAGAGAUUAAAAAAUCUAAUUUUAAUCUAAGUCUAAGUCAAAGUCAAACAAUCAAUAUUAACUACAUCUUUCAUCGGUCCCACAACUUUUCAACCAUAUAUUUCAAAAACUUCUAUCACAAUUAACUAAAAAUUCUAAUUUUAAUCUCUACCAAACACCCUCUGAUAUGAUCCGGGUUAGGCCAAAGUCGGCCGCAUAGUAUGCUUCGGGACCAAAGUUGCAAUUUUUCGCAAGAAUCAUUUUUUGACUCAAUUUCUUAUUUUUGUCAAGUUUAUUAUUUUGGGACUCUUAAAUCCUAUUUUGACUCAAUUUCUUAUUUUUGGCAAGUUUAUUAUUUUAGGACUCUUAAAUUAGGUUUUUUUUUUUUUUUUUUUUUUCCAUAUUUCUAGACUUUAGCAUAAAUAGAAAAUUUAUUUCAUUAUUGUAUUCGAAGACUUUGAGAAUUAAUUCUAGAGGCUUUUCGCUUCCAAUAUUUGUUCUUGUGUGGAACAACCGAACUGAUCAAGAUUUCGCGAUCUUUUGGCAUUCAAAACUUGGGUAAGAUUCAUUUCAUUGUGUAAUCAAAAGGUCCUUCUUGUCUUUGUUACUUUGGGGUUGUUUGAUUCAUUAAUUGGUUGGAUUAAAUCCAAAUCCGGAUUAAAUUUAUGAGUUUUGUGAUCAAAAGAUCAAUAGUUUAAUAUACUAUUGGUUGUUUGGUCUGCAAAUUUGUGAAUUGAGUCCUAAACUUUGAUUUUUGGCUUUCUUAGGGUUUGUGUAAUUUUUCGUGGGUUUAAAAGCGGUCUAGCCAUCCUGGUUCACAUCACCCUCCUAAUAAAAUUAUUCAUGCAACGUGCUGAUUAACAGGGCUGAUGUUAUGAGUGGACUUUGCUACGGUCUUUUAAUUGCACUUCUAUGAACCAGUUCUCUCAGGAAUUAGCUUGCAACCUUUUGCGUGUUACUUCCAUACUUUGCAGCCACAUGUAGUACACUUCUAUAUGUCUAAAAUGUGUAAUUGUAUUAGGGGAUGGAAGUCAUAGUCCCAGACCCAACUGCACCACCUUCAGGAUCUGGCAUGAUUGAGUCGAAGUCAGUGGGAACUUUUUCAUCAAUGCAGAAACAAGAAGGUCACAGAGGAAUCUUUGUGGAUAGGGGAGUAGGAUCUCCUAGGCUAGUAAAAUCUGCAAGUGCUGCGUCAUUCACGGCUGACCUCAAACUUUAUUCAGAAGCCAAGGUAUGUAGGAACUGAAAGAAGACUGAGUGUAAAAUAUAAGAUUUUUGGCCCUAGAAAUGCAUACUUCUAAUUCAUUACCCACUGUAAAUUGUUAGAACUCUAUGCCCGCCGCUGCAGGAGCUGUUGCAGCUGCAGCUGUAGCAGAUCAGAUGCUUGGGCCAAAGGAGGAUAGACAUCUAGCAAUUGUGCUGGUACACUCUUAGUUUCUUUUUUUCUGACUUUUGAUCAUACAUUUCAUAAUCUGUUUCUUUCAUUCAAGCUUUGAAAUACUGUAUACUACAUAUUCACUAAAAUUCUUGCAGGAAGAUACUUUUGUCAUCCAUACUGGGCUUUGAAUUUUCAUUGGUUGUAAAUUUAUACCUCAGAAGUAUGUUAUUCUAAUCUCCACAGGUUGGAUUGCCUGCUCGUGGUAAAACUUUUACUGCAGCUAAACUUACUAGAUAUCUACGUUGGUUAGGGCAUGAGACCAAACACUUCAAUGUUGGGAAGGUGAAUACCUUUUUUAACUUUUAUUGCUCAUUAAUUUUAUAGACUUAUGGAAACAGGAGAAGCUGAAUAAUUGGUAUAUUUUUGUUCACAGUAUCGAAGACUAAAGCAUGGAAUUAAUCAGGUUUGUCAAUUGGUCAGAUAUCACCU